AGGGAAUCUUCCACAAUGGACGGAAGUCUGAUGGAGCAACGCCGCGUGCGCGUUGAAGGUUUUCGGAUAGUAAAACUCUGUUGUAAGGGAAGAACCAGUAAGCUAGGCAACGGACGUACCUUGUAGGUGCCUGAUGAGAGAGCCACGGCUAACUACGGACCAGCAGCCGCGGUAAUACGUAGGUGGCAAGCGUUGUCCGGAAUUAUUGGGCGUAAAGCGCGCGCAGGUGGUUUCUUAAGUCUGAUGUGAAAGCCCACGGCUUAACCGUGGAGGGUCAUUGGAAACUGGGAGACUUGAGUGCAGAAGAGGAAAGUGGAAUUCCAAGUGUAGCGGUGAAAUGCGUAGAGAUUUGGAGGAACACCAGUGGCGAAGGCGACUUUCUGGUCUGCAACUGACGCUGAGGCGCGAAAGCAUGGGGAGCAAACA
This 426-nucleotide ribosomal RNA is filed under the name uncultured Caryophanaceae bacterium. RNAcentral describes it as "bacterial SSU rRNA". It matches the Rfam family "Bacterial small subunit ribosomal RNA", at positions 356 to 774 of the family's 1533-position model. The record is from RNAcentral. Lineage: Bacteria; Bacillati; Bacillota; Bacilli; Caryophanales; Caryophanaceae.